This 1552-nucleotide ribosomal RNA is filed under the name metagenome. RNAcentral describes it as "bacterial LSU rRNA". It matches the Rfam family "Bacterial large subunit ribosomal RNA", at positions 1379 to 2925 of the family's 2925-position model. The record is from RNAcentral.
GGCGGACCCUAAGGCGAGGCCCCAAAGGCGUAGCCGAUGGACAGCCGGUUGACAUUCCGGCCCCGUCAUGCAGUGUCGAAACCAUCAGGGACACCGAAACGAAGCGACGGCGGUUUUGUGGAUUGACCGUCUAAGCCGGUAGGCGCAAGCCGAGAGGUGAUGGCAAGGGAAGGCUUCGGCCGACUCGAGCGUCGUAGAGUCUGCGGGCAAGAAAAGCUGGUGGUGGAGCUGCACGAUGUCCGUACCGUAAACCGACACAGGUGGGUGAGGCGAGUAGCCUCAGGUGAACGAGUGAAACGUGGUCAAGGAACUCGGCAUAAUGAUCCCGUAACUUCGGAAGAAGGGAUGCCUUUGACUGUGAGGGGACUUGCUCCCCGAGCGGGCAGAGGCCGCAGAGAAUCGGCCCAAGCGACUGUUUAGCAAAAACACAGGUGCGUGCCAAGCCGCAUAAGGCGCCGUAUACGCACUGACGCCUGCCCGGUGCCGGAAGGUUAAGGGGAGAGGUUAGGGGGUAACCCCGAAGCUUUGAGCCGAAGCCCCGGUAAACGGCGGCCGUAACAAUAACGGUCCUAAGGUAGCGAAAUUCCUUGUCGGGUAAGUUCCGACCUGCACGAAUGGCGUAACGACUUGGGCACUGUCUCGACCACGUGCUCGGCGAAAUUGCAGUCUCGGUGAGGAUUCCGAGUCCCCGCGACAGGACAAAAAGACCCCAUGCACCUUUACUGCAGCUUGUCAUUGGACAUUGCACUUCACUGUGUAGCAUAGGUGGGAGUCGGUGAUGCCGGGGCGCUAGCCUCGGUGGAGACACCAGUGAAAUACCACCCUGUGUAGUGCGAUGCCCUCACCACGGAAGGCAAACCCUUUCUGGGACCGUGGCAGGCGGGCAGUUUGACUGGGGCGGUCGCCUCCGAAAGAGUAACGGAGGCGCGCGCAAGGUUGGCUCAGCGCGGUCGGUACUCGCGCUUAUAGAGUGUAACGCAGAAGCCAGCCUGACGGUGAGACCGACGGGUCGAACCGCCACGAAAGUGGGCCGUAGUGAUCCGGUAGCCCGGGGUGGAGCGGCUAUCGCGCAACGGAUAAAAGGUACGCUGGGGAUAACAGGCUUAUCGCGCCCGAGAGUUCACAUCGACGGCGCGGUUUGGCACCUCGAUGUCGGCUUAUCACAUCCUGGGGCUGGAGAAGGUCCCAAGGGUCCGGCUGUUCGCCGGUUAAAGUGGUACAUGAGCUGGGUUCAGAACGUCGUGAGACAGUUCGGUCUGUAUCCGUCGUGGGCGUUGGAGUGUUGAGGGGAGCGGACUCUAGUACGAGAGGACCGAGUCGGACGAUCCGCUCGUGUCCCGGCUGUCCUGCCAAGGGCACCGCCGGGUAGCGAUGAUCGGCUGAGAUAACCGCUGAAUGCAUCUAAGUGGGAAGCACGCCCCAAGAUGAACACCCCCGAGGCCAUGAGCCUCCUGAAGGGCCGGGGAAGACCACCCCGUCGAUAGGCCGCCCGUGGACGUCGAGCGAUCGACUCCGAGCGCAGCGGUCCUAAUCGCCCGUGCGGCUUGACUAC